GACGAACGCUGGCGGCGUGCUUAACACAUGCAAGUCGAACGGAAAGGCCCUGCUUUUGUGGGGUGCUCGAGUGGCGAACGGGUGAGUAACACGUGAGUAACCUGCCCUUGACUUUGGGAUAACUUCAGGAAACUGGGGCUAAUACCGGAUAGGAGCUCCUGCUGCAUGGUGGGGGUUGGAAAGUUUCGGCGGUUGGGGAUGGACUCGCGGCUUAUCAGCUUGUUGGUGGGGUAGUGGCUUACCAAGGCUUUGACGGGUAGCCGGCCUGAGAGGGUGACCGGCCACGUGGGGAAUGAGAACCGGCCCAGCCCCCUAGGGGGGGAAGCGGGGGGGAAUAUUGCACAAGGGGCGGGAGCCUGAUGAAGACACGCCGCGGGGGGGAUGCGGGCUUUGGGGUGGAAACCCGUUUUCCCCUGUGUCGAAGGGUGGGGGGGGGUAAGGGGAAAAAAACCCCGGGCAAACACCG
RNAcentral lists this ribosomal RNA (466 nucleotides) under uncultured bacterium. RNAcentral's name for it is "partial 16S ribosomal RNA". It matches the Rfam family "Bacterial small subunit ribosomal RNA", at positions 28 to 505 of the family's 1533-position model. The record is from RNAcentral.